GACGAACGCUGGCGGCGUGCCUAAUACAUGCAAGUAGAACGCUGAAGGAGGAGCUUGCUCUUCUGGAUGAGUUGCGAACGGGUGAGUAACGCGUAGGUAACCUGCCUGGUAGCGGGGGAUAACUAUUGGAAACGAUAGCUAAUACCGCAUAAGAGUAGAUGUUGCAUGACAUUUACUUAAAAGGUGCAAUUGCAUCACUACCAGAUGGACCUGCGUUGUAUUAGCUAGUUGGUGGGGUAACGGCUUACCAAGGCGACGAUACAUAGCCGACCUGAGAGGGUGGUCGGCCCACCUGGGAAUGAGACACGGCCCCGACUCCUACGGGAGGCAGCAGUAGGGAAUCUUCGGCAAUGGACGGAAGUCUGACCGAGCAACGCCGGGUGAGUGAAGAAGGUUUUCGGAUCGUAAAGCUCUGUUGUAAGAGAAGAACGAGUGUGAGAGUGGAAAGUUCACACUGUGACGGUAUCUUACCAGAAAGGGACGGCUAACUACGUG
RNAcentral lists this ribosomal RNA (495 nucleotides) under uncultured bacterium. RNAcentral's name for it is "partial 16S ribosomal RNA". It matches the Rfam family "Bacterial small subunit ribosomal RNA", at positions 28 to 507 of the family's 1533-position model. The record is from RNAcentral.